AAAUCUUUAGUUUAUAUGAAUUUUUUGUUUACAACAAGAAGGAGAAGAGAUUUU
This 54-nucleotide transfer RNA is filed under the name Wellcomia siamensis. Its description in RNAcentral is "tRNA-Val". Lineage: Eukaryota; Metazoa; Nematoda; Chromadorea; Rhabditida; Oxyuridae. The record is from RNAcentral.